UACGGAGGGUGCAAGCGUUAUCCGGAUUCACUGGGUUUAAAGGGUGCGUAGGUGGGCUAGUAAGUCCGUGGUGAAAUCUCCGAGCUUAACUUGGAAACUGCCGUGGAUACUAUUAGUCUUGAAUAUUGUGGCGGUAAGCGGAAUAUGUCAUGUAGCGGUGAAAUGCUUAGAUAUGACAUAGAACACCGAUAGCGAAGGCAGCUUGCUACACAAUCAUUGACACUGAGGCACGAAAGCGUGGGGAUCAAACAGG
This 253-nucleotide ribosomal RNA is filed under the name uncultured bacterium. Its description in RNAcentral is "partial 16S ribosomal RNA". It matches the Rfam family "Bacterial small subunit ribosomal RNA", at positions 524 to 776 of the family's 1533-position model. The record is from RNAcentral.